This 544-nucleotide long non-coding RNA is filed under the name Paramuricea clavata. Lineage: Eukaryota; Metazoa; Cnidaria; Anthozoa; Malacalcyonacea; Plexauridae. The record is from RNAcentral.
AGUGAGUCAGACUGUCCAUAUUGGAUUCAUUGAUCUUCGGUGCACAGCAAUACACUUUUCAGGACUGAAGUAAGGAGCAAGGAGUAAUUUUAAAGAAUAAAAAAAAUCAAUGUCAAUACCAAAUGUUGUGCUUGAACAUCCAAUGCAUUUGAUAACUUGUCUUUUAUAAAAUGAAAUAUUACUGUUCAUAAAAGAUUUAACCCAUUGACAUGAUAAAGUCUUUCAUUUGUCAGCAAAAUUUGCUGUGGUUAGUAGACAGAGAAAGCUUAAAAUAAGUUUGAAGCAAUUUUGAACUGCAAUUGUCUACUUUUGGUGUAUGUGUUAGAGUGAAUAAUCAAGCCAUGCAAAGUAAUGUUUCCUGUAAUUUUGCUAAAACACAUAUGCCAAAAGGAGAAAAUCAAAGUUUAAAAUCGCUUGUGUGAACGGGCCUUAACAGGUGUGAAUUACCCAUGUUCUGUCAAAAUAUUUAAAAGGAUCCUCCCUGUCAUGGGGAGAUAAUUGCAGUAAAAUUGAUUAAUGAAUAAUAAAGUUUCCUCAAUGAUCA